RNAcentral lists this long non-coding RNA (870 nucleotides) under Fukomys damarensis (Damara mole-rat). Its description in RNAcentral is "lncRNA (ENSFDAG00000030617.1)". The record is from RNAcentral. Lineage: Eukaryota; Metazoa; Chordata; Mammalia; Rodentia; Bathyergidae.
UUCUGUCCUUGUCACUGGCACUGUUCUGCCUUGUGGCCAGAUGGGUCUCACUCACUUCUGCUGCUUGGCUGGUGAGUGUGUGGGCAUCUCACCUUCUCACCAAGCAUUGGUGUUGUUCUGAGAAUUAGUGUUUAUGGUGCAGAAGUUCUUGUGUUUCUGUGUGUGCACGCAGGGUGAGAUUGUUGGGAGGAUAGUGGUGUCCCUUUCUUGUGAGGAGCUUGAGUGUGGGAGUGCAGGCAGGGACGGAUGUCCAACCCCAACUCUCUGCCUGAUCUUGUAGAGGCCCAACUGGAGGGCAGGGGCUGGGUACGGAGCAGCUGUGUAUCUGAGGGUCCUUUGAGAGUCACUAGAGUGGUUGAAUGUGCUGGUUUCAUAGGCCACACCACCAGCCUGUGUUCCCCCUAAUCUUAUCUUUUUCCAGCAGCCCAAGUUGCUGGCCCUGACUGCCAGAGCUGUGCCCGCAGACGUCAGCCUGCAUCUCCUGAAUCAACUCCCAUGGGUUUCUCAAGUGCUCAGCAGCACCGGAAUGGCCUAGAGUGGAGCAGGGAUCACAGCUGUUGAUCAAGCUAUGCCUCCUGUCAGUGCAGCCCAGAGGGCAGUUGCUGAAGCAAGCGCAGCAGUGGUGGGAAGAUGCUGGAGCCAUUUCUUCAGGUCACCCUUGGGGAGGAGCGUCUUCAGCUGGACCACCUGAAAACCCAGCUCUUGAAUGCCAUUUGGUGGUGCACAGAAAAUUACAGAAAAGUCAGAGCACUGUUGACCAUGGCACAGAGGGGCAUUGAGCAUAUGGGUACAGAGUAUUUACCACAGUCAGUGGAUGUUAGGGGACAUCACAGAAUCCACUGCCAUUUGUGUUCCAGGGAGGGGCUUUAA